GAUGAACGCUGGCGGCGUGCCUAAUACAUGCAAGUCGAGCGAACAGACGAGGAGCUUGCUCCUCUGACGUUAGCGGCGGACGGGUGAGUAACACGUGGAUAACCUACCUAUAAGACUGGGAUAACUUCGGGAAACCGGAGCUAAUACCGGAUAAUAUAUUGAACCGCAUGGUUCAAUAGUGAAAGACGGUUUUGCUGUCACUUAUAGAUGGAUCCGCGCCGCAUUAGCUAGUUGGUAAGGUAACAGCUUACCAAGGCAACGAUGCGUAGCCGACCUGAGAGGGUGAUCGGCCACACUGGAACUGAGACACGGUCCAGACUCCUACGGGAGGCAGCAGUAGGGAAUCUUCCGCAAUGGGCGAAAGCCUGACGGAGCAACGCCGCGUGAGUGAUGAAGGUCUUCGGAUCGUAAAACUCUGUUAUUAGGGAAGAACAAAUGCGUAAGUAACUAUGCACGUCUUGACGGUACCUAAUCAGAAAGCCACGGCUAACUACGUG
This 497-nucleotide ribosomal RNA is filed under the name uncultured bacterium. Its description in RNAcentral is "partial 16S ribosomal RNA". It matches the Rfam family "Bacterial small subunit ribosomal RNA", at positions 28 to 507 of the family's 1533-position model. The record is from RNAcentral.